Molecule: ribosomal RNA, 842 nt
Filed under: uncultured Streptococcus sp.
Lineage: Bacteria; Bacillati; Bacillota; Bacilli; Lactobacillales; Streptococcaceae
Description: bacterial SSU rRNA
Rfam family: Bacterial small subunit ribosomal RNA
Source: RNAcentral
GCGGCGUGCUAAUACAUGCAAGUAGAACGCUGAAGCUUGGUGCUUGCACCGAGCGGAUGAGUUGCGAACGGGUGAGUAACGCGUAGGUAACCUGCCUGGUAGCGGGGGAUAACUAUUGGAAACGAUAGCUAAUACCGCAUAAGAGUAGAUGUUGCAUGACAUUUGCUUAAAAGGUGCAAUUGCAUCACUACCAGAUGGACCUGCGUUGUAUUAGCUAGUUGGUGAGGUAACGGCUCACCAAGGCAACGAUACAUAGCCGACCUGAGAGGGUGAUCGGCCACACUGGGACUGAGACACGGCCCAGACUCCUACGGGAGGCAGCAGUAGGGAAUCUUCGGCAAUGGACGGAAGUCUGACCGAGCAACGCCGCGUGAGUGAAGAAGGUUUUCGGAUCGUAAAGCUCUGUUGUAAGAGAAGAACGAGUGUGAGAGUGGAAAGUUCACACUGUGACGGUAUCUUACCAGAAAGGGACGGCUAACUACGUGCCAGCAGCCGCGGUAAUACGUAGGUCCCGAGCGUUGUCCGGAUUUAUUGGGCGUAAAGCGAGCGCAGGCGGUUAGAUAAGUCUGAAGUUAAAGGCUGUGGCUUAACCAUAGUACGCUUUGGAAACUGUUUAACUUGAGUGCAAGAGGGGAGAGUGGAAUUCCAUGUGUAGCGGUGAAAUGCGUAGAUAUAUGGAGGAACACCGGUGGCGAAAGCGGCUCUCUGGCUUGUAACUGACGCUGAGGCUCGAAAGCGUGGGGAGCAAACAGGAUUAGAUANCCUGGUAGUCCACGCCGUAAACGAUGAAUGCUAGGUGUUGGGAGUCAAAUCUCGGUGCCGAAGUUAACACAUUAAGCAUU